UGUCAAGCCCCGGACAAUGUGAUAUUGCCCAACCCCGUCAGGUUCGGAAGAAAGCAGCGGUAAGUGAUUUUCAUAUGUGAUUCGGGUGUCUUGACAUUU
This 99-nucleotide signal recognition particle RNA is filed under the name bacterium. RNAcentral describes it as "signal recognition particle sRNA small type". It matches the Rfam family "Bacterial small signal recognition particle RNA". From Rfam's summary of the family: The signal recognition particle (SRP) is a universally conserved ribonucleoprotein involved in the co-translational targeting of proteins to membranes. Archaeal SRP consists of a 7S RNA and homologues of the eukaryotic SRP19 and SRP54 proteins. In most bacteria, the SRP consists of a 4.5S RNA and the Ffh protein (a homologue of the eukaryotic SRP54 protein). The record is from RNAcentral.